Long non-coding RNA from Bos taurus (domestic cattle), 1104 nucleotides. The record is from Ensembl. NCBI's taxonomy places the organism in Eukaryota, Metazoa, Chordata, Mammalia, Artiodactyla, Bovidae.
GUAAAGGCCGGGAGAUCAAAUUCUAUGUAAGAUCUAUGAAGAUUGAUUUCUUUCUUAAGGCCAAAUUGAUGAUUACUAUCAGAAGGAAAGAACUAAUUAGGACAAAAUCCCCGACUUAUGGAGGCAGAAGCACUGAGCAUCUCAGGGAGGCUGAGUUCCUGGUGCAGGAAUGGUACAGGUGCUUGUGGGUGUAGUAGUCACAGAAAUCAAGCCCCUGGUAACUGCAGACCUGCCGUUGUCAAUUCCUGCCUUCGCAGUAUCUGCUGGCAGCCCUGACAGCAAUGGCUUCAUCAGGACUUUUCUGUGUCACGGUUUCUGGAGUUGCUUGCUGCUGGGAACCCUGAUUCAUCCAGGCCCUCACUGGACACACAGCUCCAGCAGGGAUCCCUCCAGAGCACAGAGAACCAUCCCAGCCAUCCUGCUUCUACUGACGAAGCCUGGACCCAGAUUAACUCUCCUGAGUGACCAUGCCACACACCUGACUCACAUUAAAUUUAACGGUCAACUGAAACCCUCACACUUCUGGGGCAGGGACUCACUCCCUGGUCCAGGGAAUUUCUAGGAAAACAGACUUUAUGUAGUUCCUUAUUACUUGUUCAAUGGAAAAUGGUGUCUGAGCUUCCCCCCACCCCCAACCACGAUAUUUAAUGUAUGAGAGUGAUGCCUUUGAAGUGCUGAAAAAGUGCAGUCAUUCCCUUGACAAGGAAAGGGAGGAAUUAUGGAUGAAAUCCUGCCCCCUCCCUCCCCUGCAGCACAUGCUGUCGGAGUCUCAAGGUCACCCGGCAGCCGUCUCAGGCAGAUGCUUCUCUCUUCCCUCUUCACUAUCAAAGUGUUUUCAAGGGAACCACAGAAGGGACAGCUGCCUUUGAUUGUUCCCUUCUUGAUCCUCCUGGGUCCCUAACCACUCCCAGGGGUCUCCGUGAGUGCAGAAAGAGGCCUCAUAAAACAGCCUUAAAAUAAACAAGAAUUUUCUCCUUUUCUUCUACUGCCUGCCCUGAAGGAAAAAGGGAAAAGAAAAGCGAGGGAGAGGGUGGGUGUUUGAUGGCAGAGAGGAGAGUCCCUUAUGCAUCUUACAACAUCAGUAAACACCUGUGAGAUAAAUAC